AGUUAAUUAGCUUAAAAGCAAUUGUUUUGAAAACUUUUUUAAGAAAAAUUUAUUUCUAUUAACUU
This 65-nucleotide transfer RNA is filed under the name Tremex columba (pigeon tremex). Its description in RNAcentral is "tRNA-Ser". Lineage: Eukaryota; Metazoa; Arthropoda; Insecta; Hymenoptera; Siricidae. The record is from RNAcentral.